GUACAGGGCAGAGACCAUAGAUAUAGAUAUGAAGCAUUGACGGGACAUAUAGUUCUACCUGACGUCUCAAUAGCUCCGCCGUUUUACGUGGGACCAGUUCGGAAAAGUCAAGCCACUUACACUAGUCAUGGUUGUAUUUUGUGCAGCAGUAACUUGGUCCAGAAAAAUGAUUAACGAUACAAAGGAGGUGAGAAACAUUGUUCCCGCAUCAGUAAUUAGUGUAGAAAUGUAUAACAUACUUAACUUUACAUACCAUGAACAAGAACGCUAAUCCAGCCUAACCGUAGCUGUUGAGCUACGUAACUUUGCAGUAUCAUAAUUCUUUGUUUUUUAAAUCACCGGUCUCAGCUAGAUUGCUAUAUUAUAAUAUGAAUUAACGUUGCACACAACGUAUGUGAAAUAACGCGUUUUCAUCAAUAAAAGGAAUUACUGUGUAUAAUCAGCAGAUGGCGAUGUUGGGUUGCCUUUGUCCACAAAAAGUAGACUUGUUUCUCCCAUUUCUGUCCAAUUACUAUGCUGUUAGCCUACCAAAUUCAGUGAGCCAGUAUGCUCCGUUUAGCACAUUCUUACAAAAAUAGUGAUUUCUAUAAUGAAAUGAAAAUAUUCAUAUGUAUAUACAAACAUAUUAUAAUUUUAAAUCACAGGUAAUUGUUGUAGUGCAAAUGUAUAUUAAUUUAAGUACUAUCCUGCACCUUCCUACAUUAGACCAUAGCCAUUUUGCACUUAAAUUAAUAAAUGACUAAAAACUUUCAAAUUAAUUUGUUUAUAUUCUGAAAAGUAGUUAUUUUAUGCAUUGUGUUAUGCAUAACAGUGGCUAUUUAUAUAUUAUUAAGGAAAUGUAAUUGUUAUAAGAACUGAAAUGCCAUUUCUACCAUGUGUUUGUAUUGUACAUUGUGUAGAACAGGUCCCAGGUAAGAUGGCGGUCUAAUUGCUCCAUUCUGAUUUAUAGGGGCUCUAUGACAUAAGCCCAUCUACUUUUCUAUUAUCUAUGGCAGAGACACUACAGAACCUGUAUAAAGACAAGGAUCACAUUGGGUGAGAUCAGUCAUUUGAGUAACUAAUGUCAUGCUGAUAUCAUUUGUAUUUUUGUGAUAAUUAAUCCAAUUUCUAAUCCAUAUUUAUUUUGUCAGAUAUGUCAACUGGCUAAGGAAGCAGACAUCCAGGAAACCUGGGGACCCUAUAGAAGCAGCCCUUAAAUACAUAAGGCACCCUGACUAGGAGGCAGCUACACCCCUUUCUCCACUUGCUGGUAUUAAGACGCUUCAGAGUAAAUAUUAGUAUUAGUAAAGAUGACCUGUUAAUUCAUCUAAUAAAGUAUAAUGUUACUUUAUUCCCCACUGUUUGCUUGGUGUUAAAGGCCUCUUGGUGCAGCAGUGGUCCCAGUGUUUUUGGGGCAGUGUUCAGUGGACAACUGCAUUCAACAGCGAGGAAGAUCCUUGCCCCAAAGACUGCAGUUCCUAGUAUCUUCAUAUUGGAGAAUUGCAAGAAACAUUAUAAUGAGCUCUUGAUGACUAAGACCACAUUUAACACACAUUUCUAUGUGUGAAGAGGAGGCUGCCCCAUGGCAGUCUUUCCUGCCUCCAAGGCCUGCACAUGCAAGUCCAGAGCUGCUGCAUCCUGAGAGCUGGCGGGCAUGUCUGAACAAAGAGCAGCAGCAGAUCGGCCGUACACUGUUCACCAGGAGUAGCACUGGGAGAUAUAAAAUUACCAGAGUUGGUCUGUGGUGGUACCCUCCCCAACCUUGGCUGACCUACAAUCAGCCACCUGAGUCGCCUGACCCCUUCUUUGCAUGUCCGCUGUUCCUCUACAUACAUGGUCAUUCAAGCUGGCACGCACCCGGCCUGGGUGUAACACUCUUCUCACCAAGGCUGGGCUUUACAAGACCAUCCAGAGAGUCUUGGAUGUCAAGGGCUAGUACCCCAUGGCCACGGAGUGUCUGCGUUCUUCCACCACAUUACAUGUGAAUUCAUUGGUGUUGAGUACCUGUACACCCAGACCAACAAAGUGCUGCAGGAAGUCAACCGGACCCCGACACUCCAGAUGAGGCUGAUGCUGUCGAGGGACCCCUGGAGGAUGAGGGCUUUGAGGAGACAGGAUAAGGACGCCACCACCCCAGCCUCGCUGCCGGCCUCGUUCUCCACUUCAGUAGUAGCCCCGCCAGGUAAUCCAGCUGAUGCACCCCUAUUUGUCAUGACAUUCUAAACCAAAUGUUUCCUGAAAGGCUUUUUAUUUUAUUUUUUUAAUGUAUUUGUAACAUUCAGAAGGAGUGCCAAGGGCCAGAUACCAGCAGGUCUGCAGGCUGGCCAAGAGGGUCUUCAGGGGCUCACGGAUCGAAAGGUAGACUGUCUGAUAGGACUGUGGCAAACACUACCGCAGCCAGAGGAGUUGUCGACACUUUCCGUCACCAGGACAGGCUCGAGCGCGGGCGGUUCAAAGCGAUUAAAGGGAAACUGCUGGAAAGGACAGUGUUCAAUGGUAUUUGGUUAAUAUAAUAAUUAUUUCAACAGUUGCCAUCCACUGCCAACACUAACAAGUAUUCUUUGUUCAAAUCUUUGUCUUUCAGUUGCUUUCUCAGACUUAACCCGGGUCCUGCUACGUGGCCAGGCGGCAGUCGCCUGGUCGAGGCCAUUUGCAGCCAGCUCUGUCACCAGCAUCCAUGCGGCCCUAAGAGGUGCAGGUGGGCGAUCCUCUUCAGUCAGAGAGGCGGUGCUGAACAGCCCAGGGUUGAUGGCCCAGACCAACACCACGGUCUAUGAGCUGAAGUCAGAGGACGGUCUAACAAUAGUAAGAUGAUGAUGAUACAUGUAGACAUUAUUAAUAAUUAGCAGCAUCAUGUUCCUGAUGGUCCUGUAGUCCUUCUGGAUGGCAGCCCACCUGUUGUCCCGCACACCAAGGACAGUCUGGCAAAGCUCCAAAAAGAAAGCCUCUACUGUGCUGCUAGUGUUGGGCCACAGGGCAGGUCCAGGUCCUUGUCCAAAUAGGGAGCUAAAAGGAUAUUAAAUUAUAAAAGACAACAUCUAUGAAGAACACAAAACACCCUGUUUAGUGAGAAAGUGAUUUCGGCACAAAGUGCAGUACUUACCGCUUCAUGCUAUCUUCCCCCUCGACUGCUGUGGUCUUUGAGGAGACUCAUCUUGUUCGCCUCUGGAAGAUUCUCUCACAGGGCGAUUAUCUCUUUGGGCAUGCCGAGUCGAGAUCGACAGCCUCUCCAAGAGUCUCAUCAGACUUUUGGCAAGGAGAACGACAUGUUGAUACCCGACAACCCCAUCAGGACUUGUGUACUCCUGGAAAUAUGAAGUGUAAUUGCAAGGGGUUGGAUUAUUGGAUAUGAAUAAGAAAAGAAAAAAAAUGACGAUGUGAGCGGUUUGUGAUGUGGAUAUGCACUUACAUCCUCCUCCAGGUCCUGACAGAUAGUAGGGGGCAAUGGAGCAGCCUUCUUGAGGUAAGGAAGAGCCUAGUCACGCUGUUCCCAAGUGUACGCUCCCUCGUCUAUUCUGACUACCUUCAGGUCACAGGACAGCCUGAUACACCAUGGGAAUUAACCGAAAAGCCAAGAUCGCUGAGAACUUGUGUCCACCUGGUUAAGGACAUCCAGUGACCAACCUGCCAACUUCUUUUCACAGGGGUUGCAUUCUAGAUAUUCCAUCCCCAUUAAAUACCAUCCAUCGAUGUCAAGCACCUUCCGGACAGUCCUGUACACCACGCAACGUGUUAGCCUGUGGCGCUUGCACUGUGGCAAACAAAGUUUGGGGCACAGGUCAUUUGAUAUUAGUAUUGAAUUAUUAGUAUUAGUACUGAAACCAAUGACAUCAGAAUAUAUACUUGCCAGAAUUAGGUGUUUUGGCUGGAGUUUCGUCUCUGCACUGGAGAUAGACCUUGAAGUGAGCCAUUGAUGUUCCCUCUUCACUUUGCCCUUCUGGAAGCAGGUCAUAUAGCUGUAUUAAAAACAAACAAAAAUGUACACACUAACAGUCAAAAGUUUUUUUCCAGUUUGGCUGAGGUCAUGGGACAGAAACUCACUCCUUCAUAAACACUGUGUCCUGUCUUUAAUUUACUACAUUUCUUGCAGUACUAUACUUUGCUGGGCUUGUGCACACAGACUGUUUGAAGAAACAGACAGAUAUUCCUUGUAUCUUGUGUACCCCAAAGCCAACAAGGUGUAGGUGUCCCUGAUCACGUUAAGGGAGUGAGGUUCCACCUCUACUGCCCUCUGGGAACAGGCUGCCAUACCUGUUCAGGUGGUUGAGAUAAUGCUAUAUAAUGUGUUGCAAUGUGGAUUGAUUUACGGUGUGUACGUGUCAUCAUACAAGAUACUUAUUUCCAUUAAAACAUUUACCAAUUUAAGCAGUCCUGGUUUGCCAUCUUGGGAGACAACUAUGUCUUUACUAGCUGUCUCAUUAAGUACAUCAGAUUGAACUGUACAAUAUGGAUUGUUUGAGUCUAAGCUUUGUGAAU
Molecule: long non-coding RNA, 4455 nt
Organism: Esox lucius (northern pike)
Lineage: Eukaryota; Metazoa; Chordata; Actinopteri; Esociformes; Esocidae
Source: Ensembl